GUGAGGAAUAUUGGUCAAUGGGCGAGAGCCUGAACCAGCCAAGUCGCGUGAAGGAAGAAGGAUCUAUGGUUCGUAAACUUCUUUUGCAGGGGAAUAAAGUGCAGGACGUGUCCUGUUUUGUAUGUACCCUGAGAAUAAGGAUCGGCUAACUCCGUGCCAGCAGCCGCGGUAAUACGGAGGAUCCGAGCGUUAUCCGGAUUUAUUGGGUUUAAAGGGUGCGUAGGUGGUUUGAUAAGUCAGCGGUGAAAGUUUGCAGCUUAACUGUAAAAAUGCCGUUGAAACUGUCGGACUUGAGUGUAAAUGAGGUAGGCGGAAUGCGUGGUGUAGCGGUGAAAUGCAUAGAUAUCACGCAGAACUCCGAUUGCGAAGGCAGCUUACUAAGCUACAACUGACACUGAAGCACGAAAGCGUGGGUAUCAAACAGGAUUAGAUACCCGAGUAGUCC
Molecule: ribosomal RNA, 445 nt
Filed under: uncultured bacterium
Lineage: Bacteria
Description: partial 16S ribosomal RNA
Rfam family: Bacterial small subunit ribosomal RNA
Source: RNAcentral